Molecule: ribosomal RNA, 465 nt
Filed under: Vreelandella stevensii
Lineage: Bacteria; Pseudomonadati; Pseudomonadota; Gammaproteobacteria; Oceanospirillales; Halomonadaceae
Description: partial 16S ribosomal RNA
Rfam family: Bacterial small subunit ribosomal RNA
Source: RNAcentral
CCUACGGGAGGCUGCAGUGGGGAAUAUUGGACAAUGGGGGGAACCCUGAUCCAGCCAUGCCGCGUGUGUGAAGAAGGCCCUCGGGUUGUAAAGCACUUUCAGUGAGGAAGAACGCCUGGUGGUUAAUACCCAUCAGGAAAGACAUCACUCACAGAAGAAGCACCGGCUAACUCCGUGCCAGCAGCCGCGGUAAUACGGAGGGUGCGAGCGUUAAUCGGAAUUACUGGGCGUAAAGCGCGCGUAGGUGGCUUGAUAAGCCGGUUGUGAAAGCCCCGGGCUCAACCUGGGAACGGCAUCCGGAACUGUCAAGCUAGAGUGCAGGAGAGGAAGGUAGAAUUGCCGGUGUAGCGGUGAAAUGCGUAGAGAUCGGGAGGAAUACCAGUGGCGAAGGCGGCCUUCUGGACUGACACUGACACUGAGGUGCGAAAGCGUGGGUAGCAAACAGGAUUAGAUACCCGUGUAGUC